Aethalodelphis obliquidens (Pacific white-sided dolphin) is the source of this 1523-nucleotide long non-coding RNA. RefSeq lists it as uncharacterized. The transcript has 3 exons. The record is from RefSeq and is a predicted model, not a curated record. Lineage: Eukaryota; Metazoa; Chordata; Mammalia; Artiodactyla; Delphinidae.
AUGUCCAUUAUUAAGUGGUCUGAAAGGUCAGGCCAGUAAACUUUUGCUGAUUUGCAGGUCCCUCCUCCAGAGAUUCAGUGGGUCAGAUAUCUGUUCAUGUGGACAUCACCGCCACCCCAGGAACAGGAGAGCAUAAAGUCACUAUAAAAGUCAUUGCUAUUAAUGACUUAAACUGGCAGACCACUGCAACGUUCCGCCCCUUUGUGGAAGUUUGUAUGCUGGGACCCAACCUCGGAGACAAGAAGAGAAAACAAGGCACAAAGACAAAAAGCAACACAUGGUCACCAAAAUAUAACGAAACAUUUCAGUUCAUUCUGAGUAAAGAAAACCGCCCACGGGCCUAUGAACUUCACCUUUCAGUUAAAGAUUACUGCUUUGCCAGAGAAGAUCGAAUUAUCGGAAUGACAGUAAUUCAGCUCCAGAACAUAGCAGAAAAAGGAAGCCACGGGGCAUGGUAUCCCCUAUUGAAAAACGUCUCUAUGGAUGAAACUGGUUUGACUAUCCUUAGAAUCCUCUCGCAGAGGACCAGUGACAAUGUGGCCAAAGAAUUUGUAAAACUUAAAUCUGAAACAAGAUCUGCUGAAGAGAGUGCUUGAAACAAACACUGCAAGAUAGCAUCUAGGAGAAUUCAUAAACUAUAACUGUUUGACUACUGCAUGCAUGUGCAAAUACACGGGAAUGUUUAUUUCACUACGUUUCAGUGUUUGCCAGUACUCAAGAACAAUGUCUACAAGGUAUGUGGAAAACCUGUGGAACUUUUAUACCACUUCUGGUCUUUGAGAAAUAAAUGUUCCAUGAAGUGCCAAAAUUAUGAUGUAAAGUGAAAUAUCCAGAGCAUCUUUUAAAAUGUUUAUUUCAUUACCAAUUUCUCAUCCAUUAAACAUACUAAAAAAACAGUCUCUUAAGUUGGUCCAUUAGUUGUCCUUGUUACAUUGGUGUAUAUGGCCAGUAGGUAUGAAAGCAUCUGUUACUCAAACUCUAUUUUAUUUAGACUUAGCUCAUUAUAGAUGUCUUAUAAAUACCCUUUUCUAUCAUGACUAGAAAUGCAGUUACUUCUAGAAAGCAUUUGUAAUUUUAUAGUUGCAGGUAUAUUGUGAUGAUUUUUGCAUACAUAUUAAAAUAGAAAAUGUGGGAAAUAUUUUAUGCCAACCGGUUUCCAACCUUUCUGAAAUCACUGUGAAGAAAUGCUCUUAAAGCAAACUUAUAAAAAGUAAUGCUAAAUAGUUUGUUAACAGUGUUUGAUAUAUCAACAGAACUUUGUUCUUUAAAACUGCCAAGGUCACAUCACAUUUGUAAAAAAAAAAAAAAAAGGUAAGUUGAAGCAUUUGCCAUCUAGCAUUAUGUCUUGGCUUUACCAAAUUUCAUUCUUUAGAAAGUCAUAUGACUAAUGGUUUAGGAGUAUGAUGGAAGGUUUGUUUCUUAAAUUACCUAUGAUAAGUAAUUAUACUGUUAGUGUUUUCCUUCUGACAGUUAUGACUAACUCCUUAUUUACUGAGUGCUAUAAUCAGUUAAAUGCUUUUCUC